AUAGCAACAGUAGCAGCUACUGAAAAUAUUUCAUUAUCAUCAUCAUUUUUACCAUUCCUCUGUAAUAAUCUAAAGUUAUUUUGACAAAAUAAGUCUGCAAAUUCCAAUAUAGCGCUGUUUGCUUCCGCCAGGUUGCCUGGUUGCCAGAAAGCAACUUAGCAAAAUGCUAUAAAAUUAGUUUAGAUUAAAAUUUUUGUUCCAAAUUGUACGUAAAUUUUAAUUCAACAUUUUUUUAAACUAAUGCAAAAGAACGAAGAAAAAAGAACAACUUAUUUAUGAAUAUAAAAUGUAUGCUUAUGCAUUAAUAAUAAUAUAUUUACAGUUUAUAAAUGUUACUUUUCUAUAAUGCCCAGCAAUUAAUGUACAGUGCUCAUUUGUAAUAAGGAAGGUUGAAACAGAAAUACUGUAAAUAAAUAUGCAUCGGAUAUUUUAAAAAUCCCGAGUAUUUCUACUAUGUCAGCUCCACGUCACGCGGAAACGCAAGAAUGUGGGCAACAAUAGAUUUUUUUAAUUGUUACUUUCUUUGUUGAGUGUGCGAUUUUCAAAUGAGAAAGGAGUUUUUUCGAGAUUCUUUGCUUCGUUUCUUGAGAAAUACUGUUUUGGAUAUAAAUAUUUCGACAUUUUGUGGAAGAUGCUCAUAUGCAUGCAGAUGUGGAUAGAGAUUUAGAGUUGGUGUUGUCUGAGAAGCAAUUUGAUCCUCCCGAUCUCACUUGUCAGCAUGAAAUUCCCAACAGAUCAUGAUGAUCGAGAUGAUUUCUUUAGUUGGGAGUUGGAAAGUUACCAAGAAACAAAUUAUUUGGAAAUUGUUCUCGAUCUUACUGAGGAUUGUUUCAACGACGAUUAUAAUUCGCAACAGGUUUUUGAAAACGAUGUUUGCUUUCCUUGCGAUGGAUGCGAGAAUAAUCUUGUAUAAUGUGAUGAGAAAGUUGAGCCGGAAGUUAUUAAAGAUAGUUUCAAUAGGUUCUUACCAUGACUAAAUGAUGGACAGUAUAUACAUCAGAAUCUCCAUAAUAAACACGAAUACCUCUGACAGUAAAGCCAAAUCCUCUAGCUCCUCGCCUGAUAAUGAUAGGUGGUUUCAAUUGAGCAAUUAGUGGACUUAAUUCUCGACUUGGAGAUGUAUCUCUGGAACUAGUGCUAGAACCUCCAGGUGAACCAAUUGGCUGAGCACCAAAAGUGCCAGACAUAUCUUCUGCAUGCUGUGAAAUAUCAUCAUAACAGAUUUGGUUGCAUUUGAAAUGGUAAAUCUCUCUCUAAACUAUGGGUGGUCAACCUAUGACAUGCAUGCCUAAAGUGGCUCAUAAGGAGAAAGCAUC
RNAcentral lists this long non-coding RNA (1316 nucleotides) under Centruroides sculpturatus (bark scorpion). RNAcentral describes it as "uncharacterized LOC111630372, transcript variant X1". Lineage: Eukaryota; Metazoa; Arthropoda; Arachnida; Scorpiones; Buthidae. The record is from RNAcentral.